AUAUACAUGUACUUUCUCAGAUUGCCUCUAAAUCAAAAGGAGCUGAGAAGGAAGUAAAAUAAAAACUAUCUAUGAAAUUAUUAUUGAACAGGUAUUCGUGGAAGUUUAUACCAUUUGUGCAUUAGUUUGAAUUUUAACCGGUUAGGUAAAUAAUUCAUCUUCGAAAAGAUGAAUCCAUUGAUUUUCUCGAUUCUAUGUGUUUUUGUAACCGACGUGCGAUCAAAAAAAGCUUUACUUAUCAAUCUAAGCUAUAAAAAUUGGGGGAACCUUGAAGACGUUUGGCACAAUAAUACCAUCUCAUAUCGAUAUUAUAUAGACAAAUAUUCUGCCGCGUGCCCUGCUUCCAGCCCUCUUGAGCAGCAGUUCAACAAAGAUGUCUCGUUGACCAAACAAAGCGUAUUCUCGAGGUUAAUUUGUCUGAGAAAUCAAUCCCUGACGGAGAGUGAUAUUGAUUUUUGUGAGAACUCAUACGAACCUGCGAUGAUUUAUAAUUCACGUACGGGAGAAUAUGAAAUCGGAUAUGAGCUGUAUUUUUUCAGGAAUGAGAGCGAAUAUCAGGGCAAUACAAAAUAUGAUUAUUAUUAUAAUUAUAAAACGGUAAAUACAAAAAAGCCCCCGUACGAAAUUGAGAAUCAAACAAUAUUCAAUGGUACUUCUGAAUUUGUAAUUAGAUACGAAGAUGACACCCACAUUAUGUUCAAUUUCACCAAUGGAUAUCCAACUCUGGGUUUCUAUUGGAUACAUGUGCUGUCCAUGAAAUAUUCAAAAAACAAUAAAUAUGUGGUAUUUACACGAAAUCUUAUAAAAUUUGAAAAUUUGAAGGACGAAUGCAAAAAUUAUCGAACUGCUGACGAAGAAUUGUACUCAAAGAAAAAUCAGAAAAAGUGUUUGAAAGACAUUUUAGUGCCUUCGUCCUCAUUUAAAGGAAACCCUGAUCUGUCCUGCGGACAACCUUAUGGAUGUUUAACACCAUCGCAGGUAAUUCCACUGUGGUAUUUUGACUCGAGCUCAGCCAGGCUUGCCAGUUGUUCGUAUUUAAACGUAAUACCAGUUUGGAAAAGCAUUGCAGAAGGAAAUUUGAGAAGAGUCGAUCUUUUCAUAGGUGCAAUUAUCAAGAAUUUACGUUAUGAUAACGGAGUCAGUGUUGACAAAGUCAUUUUUGGUGUAAAUGGAGUUUUAAAAAUAACGGUACCGGGUGGCAGGCGAAGAAUGUAUUUAUCAGAUAGUAAACGCGAUCGUGUCGUGGAAAUCCCAAAAAUAAUUUAUCGAAUUAUUAAAGUCGAAGCGUUAAGUUGCAGCCAUUUCGCAGUAAUCGUAAUCCAUAAUGAUCCUAGCACAGUCCGGGGUGCUGAUAGACUUUGCGACAAAAACGAUACUCUUAUUCACACGUGGGAUAAAAUAAUCAACGAUGAUCCAAAAACUGGGUUAACUUACGUUUGUCCGAUGACCACAUUUCUUGAAAAAAAAUUAGACGUCAAUUGUUGCAGCUUAAAUAAACUGAAUUUGGCUCAAGUUCCAUGUUACCAACAUCAACGGUCUCAGGAGUGGUGGUCUUAUGAGGAUAGAGCGGAAAUUGUCAAUUCAAACUUCGCAAGAUUUUUAGAAGAGAUAUCACAAGUGAAAUAAAACAUUUUGCUGCCAAAGCGAUGCGAGGCUGCAAAGUUCUAGGAAAAUUGUUGAUUUUGCUCGAGUCAACAACGGUCAAAACUUUUGAAAAUUUACAGUUUUAAAGAACAGAAAAUCUUUUUUUCCUUCAGUUUAUUCGAAUUACAACCUUUCUUAUUCGUAUAUGUGAGGGCGCAUACGGAAAGGGACCUUACGACCAAAAAAUCAAUUUUUCAUUUCUUCGCCAAAUUUUUGUAGGGACUCUUUAAAAAUCGAGUAGAACCCUCCAUAGGCCCCAAUUUUUAUUAUUUCAUCGAUUUUUUUUACUUUUAAGCGAAGCAUGCAUUACAUUAUUAUCAUUCAUAAAAGUUGAAAAAUGACACAAAAAAUUUGAAAAAAGACGUAAAAACGCGUAAAAAAUGAACAUUUUACAAAAACUCGUGACUUUAUAAUAAGACGUGAGUGGAAAAAAUCAUUAAAAAAAUUUUCCUAUAGCGGAACUCGAAUCGAAGACUUUCGGCAAGGUAGAUACAUACACCUAUAGCCACCAGUAUCGAUUUACGAAAUGUACAUAUUUUUUAACAAUAUAUAACUAACUUUAAUGUGAAACUAUAUAAAAAACACAAGUUGAACUGAAAAACACUGCCACAAUCAGCAGCAAACGAUUUUUAUAAAAACUAAUACCCUAAAAUUCUUGAUAAUAUCAACAGAAUUGCUCACUUUAUCAACUUUGUAGUGCCUAAUUUGGCCAGUACAGGUCGUUGGAGGGCGUGUGUGAAUGUGUGAUAAUGUAUAGGACCUUUGAAGUUGGAAUAGCCAUAUGUAAUUGUACCUUAAAACAAGGGAAAUAACGCAAAACUUUAAACCCUCCUCUUGUGAAAUUUUACUUUUGGUCGUAAGGUCCCUUUCCGUAUAUGCGCCCUCACAUAUAAGUCUAAUUUCACACAGAACAAAUGUAAAUUUAGAAGAAUUUUGGAGGUUUUCCGUGCCUACUUUUAAAGCUCAUUUACGAAUUUCCUGCAUUUUUUUGUAAUUUUUUAUAUUUUUUGUUUUGGCUGGUAGACACCAGAUAUUUCGGCCCUUUUUAAAAAAUUUUCGAAAAUUGAAGAAUUUACUUCGGUGGCAUAAAUUUGGUUCUGAGGUUUAAGUGACAUACGAAUAGGUACUCAUUCAAAGCACCAUUGUAGAAGUUCUCUCCAAAGUAUUUUAUUGAUUACUGUAUUCUAUAUAGGUAAUUAUAUUUGUCCAGUUUAAAAAAUGACUAUCAAAAUCAAUUUACAAGUUUAUUUUAGAGAAAAAUUUCAGAGCUACUAUUUUUAAUCAAAUUUGUCUUCACAAUAUUACUAAAGAUUAUUACCUAUCAUGUUAUAACUUCAUUCAUUUGAAUUUUUCUGGAUCACCUCACUUGCCUCAAAUGAAGCGAAUUAUUUUUAAUAUUCACGUUUCGUAAUCCCCACUCAAGAUAACUUUUAAAUUAAGAAAUGAAGUUUCGCAAUCUGUUCAGGUUGGAAUUUAUUGAAUUUCUUGGAUCACAUGUUGCAGAUUGAGCGAACCAUCUUUACUUAUCAAUCUAGGCUGUAACUAUUGGGGGAACCUUGAAGACGUUUGGAACAAUUCCUCUAUCUCAUAUUGCUAUCCAACAUAUAAUCCAACCAAAUAUUUUGCCGCGUGCCCUGCUUCCAGCCCUCUAGAGCAGCA
Planococcus citri (citrus mealybug) is the source of this 3303-nucleotide RNA transcript. RefSeq lists it as uncharacterized. NCBI's taxonomy places the organism in Eukaryota, Metazoa, Arthropoda, Insecta, Hemiptera, Pseudococcidae. The transcript has 8 exons. The record is from RefSeq and is a predicted model, not a curated record.